RNAcentral lists this transfer-messenger RNA (340 nucleotides) under Lachnospiraceae. Its description in RNAcentral is "Agathobacter sp015057035 Standard tmRNA". It matches the Rfam family "transfer-messenger RNA". Rfam says of the family: Bacterial tmRNA, also known as 10Sa RNA or SsrA, is named for its dual tRNA and mRNA-like properties. RNAcentral also lists the same sequence under 2 other names. The record is from RNAcentral. Lineage: Bacteria; Bacillati; Bacillota; Clostridia; Lachnospirales.
GGGCUAGUAAUGGUUUCGACGGGGAUCAUGCAGCUGGAGAAGCGAGUCGCAUGCAAUGCGUUAAAUGGCAAACUUAAAUAUAAACGCUGAAGAAAAUUUAGCAUACGCUGCUUAAUUGCGGCAGUCUGACCUAGUGCACCUACACAUUAGGACUCAGGCUUCGACUAUGUAGGAAACGACGUUGGCAAAGCUUUGAGCCAGCGGGCGUAUCAUGAAGCUACUGAAGCUGUCAGGGUGUUUAUCCCCGGGCAGUGGAGGGAAUGUCAAAGGAUAAACUACACUCGUAGAAGGACAGGGAAUUGGUUUUCGGACACGGGUUCGACUCCCGUCUAGUCCAUAG